AUGUACCCCUGGUUUGGUCCCUCGCCCUUUUUGCAGCGUGGAGCAUCUGUGCUCGACAGCUUGUCCAUUGUUGACGCUUGCCCAAACCACCUAUUACCUUCCAUCGUCUUCGCAUGCUCUUAUAUGAUAUCUUCUCACUGGUUGCAGACCGACUGCUUUCCAUGUGAGAUCAUGUUGCUGGUUGGCAAUUACUUUGCGGUAAUAAACAUAUGUCUCCAAUACUUGAACAUAGAAGCUAGCAGAUCUGAUCAAUUCCUUUGCUGGAAACACAAAAACGUUAGUAAAGCAUUCACCUUGAUUGGUUUCUUUCAGAGACUAUCAGCACGGAGCAGGUUACCUGCCGAUUGGUUUCCAUAUGAGAUCAUGUUGCUGGUUGCCGAUUCAUGUACGUUUGCAACAAACCUAGCAAAACACAAAUCUUGA
This 423-nucleotide ribosomal RNA is filed under the name Triticum aestivum (bread wheat). RNAcentral's name for it is "partial small subunit ribosomal RNA". The record is from RNAcentral. Lineage: Eukaryota; Viridiplantae; Streptophyta; Magnoliopsida; Poales; Poaceae.